RNAcentral lists this ribosomal RNA (207 nucleotides) under uncultured bacterium. Its description in RNAcentral is "partial 16S ribosomal RNA". It matches the Rfam family "Bacterial small subunit ribosomal RNA", at positions 568 to 774 of the family's 1533-position model. The record is from RNAcentral.
CGUGUAGGUGGUUCUGUAUGUCUAUCGUGAAAGCGUACGGCUCAACCGUAUUUAGUCGGUAGAAACUGCAGGACUUGAGGCUGGGAGGGGCUGGUGGAAUUCCCUGUGUAGCGGUGAAAUGCGUAGAGAUGGGGGAGAACACUCGUGGCGAAGGCGGCCAGCUAAACCAGUUCUGACACUGAGGCGCGACAGCGUGGGGAGCAAACA